AUGGAACUUAUAUUCAUGCAAACGGUCACAAAAAUGCAAUCGAUUCGGCCAAAUUUCAACCAGAAACAUAAUUUUCGCAACAGUACAGCUUCAGAGAAAUCGAGUAAAAAAAUGUCCAAAUCGAAAAACUGUACACGCAAAGAGUUUCGGAUAGCUCAAAAGACAUGGUUUUCAUUAACGAGAGUUGAAAAAACUCAAAGCGGAUCAAAAGUUAUGGCAAAAUACCGUUUAUGUCAAGUUUUGGACAUUUUCCAAGAGAAGAGCCAAUUUCCAUUAAACUCAAACUAA
Vicia faba (fava bean) is the source of this 288-nucleotide non-coding RNA. The record is from the annotation of a GenBank genome assembly. NCBI's taxonomy places the organism in Eukaryota, Viridiplantae, Streptophyta, Magnoliopsida, Fabales, Fabaceae.